This 332-nucleotide ribosomal RNA is filed under the name uncultured bacterium. RNAcentral's name for it is "bacterial SSU rRNA". It matches the Rfam family "Bacterial small subunit ribosomal RNA", at positions 568 to 898 of the family's 1533-position model. The record is from RNAcentral.
CUCGUAGGCGGCCAACUAAGUCAGACGUGAAAUCCCUCGGCUUAACCGGGGAACUGCGUCUGAUACUGGAUGGCUUGAGGUUGGGAGAGGGAUGCGGAAUUCCAGGUGUAGCGGUGAAAUGCGUAGAUAUCUGGAGGAACACCGGUGGCGAAGGCGGCAUCCUGGACCAAUUCUGACGCUGAGGAGCGAAAGCCAGGGGGGCAAACGGGAUUAGAUACCCCGGUAGUCCUGGCCCUAAACGAUGAAUGCUUGGUGUGGCGGGUAUCGAUCCCUGCCGUGCCGAAGCUAACGCAUUAAGCAUUCCGCCUGGGGAGUACGGUCGCAAGGCUGAA